RNAcentral lists this ribosomal RNA (790 nucleotides) under uncultured organism. Its description in RNAcentral is "bacterial SSU rRNA". It matches the Rfam family "Bacterial small subunit ribosomal RNA", at positions 56 to 817 of the family's 1533-position model. The record is from RNAcentral.
UGCAAGUCGUGCGAGAAAGUCACCUUCGGGUGGUGAGUAAAGCGGCGAACGGGUGAGUAACACGUAAGAAACCUGCCCCUAAAUCCGGAAUAACAUUGCUAACGCGGUGCUAAUACCGGAUGUGGUCUCCAGUUUGCAUGAACAGGAGAUUAAAGGUGACCUCUACUUGUAAGUUAUCGUUUAGGGAUGGUCUUGCGGACCAUUAGCUUGUUGGCGGGGUAACGGCCCACCAAGGCUGCGAUGGUUAGCCGGCUUAAGAGGGUGAUCGGCCACAUUGGGACUGAGAUACGGCCCAGACUCCUACGGGAGGCAGCAGUAGGGAAUUUUGCGCAAUGGACGAAAGUCUGACGCAGCAACGCCGCGUGAGCGAUGAAGGUUUUCGGAUUGUAAAGCUCUGUUGAGUGGGAAGAAAACUCUCCGGGAUAAUACCCCGGAGACUUGACGGUACCACUCGAGGAAGCCCCGGCUAAAUACGUGCCAGCAGCCGCGGUAAUACGUAUGGGGCAAGCGUUGUUCGGAAUCACUGGGCGUAAAGGGAGUGUAGGCGGAAAGGUAAGUUAGAAGUGUAAUCCACGGGCUUAACCCGUGACUCGCUUUUAAUACUGCUUUUCUUGAGUAUGGGAGAGGGAGAUGGAAUUCCAGGUGUAAGCGGUGGAAUGCGUAGAUAUCUGGAAGAACACCCAGUAGCGAAGGCGGUCUCCUGGCCCAAUACUGACGCUGAGGCUCGAAAGCGUGGGGAGCGGAACAGGAUUAGAUACCCUGGUAGUCCACGCCGUAAACGAUGGACACU